This 440-nucleotide ribosomal RNA is filed under the name uncultured bacterium. RNAcentral describes it as "partial 16S ribosomal RNA". It matches the Rfam family "Bacterial small subunit ribosomal RNA", at positions 338 to 795 of the family's 1533-position model. The record is from RNAcentral.
CCUACGGGGGGCUGCAGUAGGGAAUAUUGCUCAAUGGGGGAAACCCUGAAGCAGCAACGCCGCGUGGAGGAUGAAGGUUUUCGGAUUGUAAACUCCUUUUGUUAGAGAAGAAAAUGACGGUAUCUAACGAAUAAGCACCGGCGAACUCCGUGCCAGCAGCCGCGGUAAUACGGAAGGUGCAAGCGUUACUCGGAAGCACCGGGCGUAAAGGGCGCGUGGGGGGGAUAGCAAGUCAGAUGUGAAAUCCUAUGGCUUAACCAUAGAACUGCAUUUGAAACUGUUAUUCUAGAGUAUGGGAGAGGUAGGUGGAAUUCUUGGUGUAGGGGUAAAAUCCGUAGAGAUCAAGAGGAAUACUCAUUGCGAAGGCGACCUGCUAGAACCUAACUGACGCUGAUGCGCGAAAGCGUGGGGAGCAAACAGGAUUAGAUACCCGUGUAGUC